UACGUAGGGUGCGAGCGUUAAUCGGAAUUACUGGGCGUAAAGCGUGCGCAGGCGGUUUUGUAAGCCGGAUGUGAAAUCCCCGGGCUCAACCUGGGAACUGCAUUUGUGACUGCACGGCUGGAGUGCGGCAGAGGGGGAUGGAAUUCCGCGUGUAGCAGUGAAAUGCGUAGAUAUGCGGAGGAACACCGAUGGCGAAGGCAAUCCCCUGGGCCUGCACUGACGCUCAUGCACGAAAGCGUGGGGAGCAAACAGG
RNAcentral lists this ribosomal RNA (253 nucleotides) under uncultured bacterium. RNAcentral's name for it is "partial 16S ribosomal RNA". It matches the Rfam family "Bacterial small subunit ribosomal RNA", at positions 524 to 776 of the family's 1533-position model. The record is from RNAcentral.